GACAAUUCAAACUACAGGACCUUGCAUUCAUUCCUUGGCAUGAAGAAAACAACAAUAGUGGUCAUUGAAAAGAAAACAUAGUUCCAUACCGAAUGCACUUCAGUUUCUUCUUGAACUUGGCUUCUAUGCUAUUUCUUGUUUGGUUGGUUGGUUUUGCCUUCGUGCGAUGUUUGUAUGCUAGAUUUGAAAAUAUGUUGGUAAAACUUCAGAAAAAUCUCCUCCAAUAUGCAUUGAGCUCAAUUCAUGGUGCAUCAAGUGAUUACGGAAGAAUUUAUUUUGCCUUGAUGAUGCAAUAAUAGAUUGAGUUUGCCAUCUUUAACAGCUUCCUGCAUUUUGCAGUGUUUGUUUCAAUGUGUUUAGUUCAUGGAUCUAUCGAGGAAUUUAUUAAGAGAAGGGAAAAUAGUAUGGAAAAUCUAGCUUUUUCUCUUCA
Molecule: long non-coding RNA, 430 nt
Filed under: Actinidia chinensis (golden kiwifruit)
Lineage: Eukaryota; Viridiplantae; Streptophyta; Magnoliopsida; Ericales; Actinidiaceae
Description: long non-coding RNA (ACHI_LNC006094)
Source: RNAcentral